AAUGAACGCUGGCGGCAGGCCUAACACAUGCAAGUCGAACGGAUCCUUCGGGAUUAGUGGCGGACGGGCGAGUAACGCGUGGGAACAUACCCAAAGGUACGGAAUAGCCUCGGGAAACUGGGAGUAAUACCGUAUGUGCUCGAAAGAGGAAAGAUUUAUCGCCUUUGGAUUGGCCCGCGCUGGAUUAGGUAGUUGGUGGGGUAAUGGCCUACCAAGCCGACGAUCCAUAGCUGGUUUGAGAGGAUGAUCAGCCACACUGGGACUGAGACACGGCCCAGACUCCUACGGGAGGCAGCAGUGGGGAACCUUAGACAAUGGGGGAAACCCUGAUCUAGCCAUGCCGCGUGAUCGAUGAAGGCCUUAGGGUUGUAAAGAUCUUUCAGGUGGGAAGAUAAUGACUGUACCACCAGAAGAAGCCCCGGCUAACUCCGUGCCAGCCGCCGCGGUAA
Molecule: ribosomal RNA, 449 nt
Filed under: uncultured bacterium
Lineage: Bacteria
Description: partial 16S ribosomal RNA
Rfam family: Bacterial small subunit ribosomal RNA
Source: RNAcentral